RNAcentral lists this ribosomal RNA (950 nucleotides) under uncultured bacterium. RNAcentral's name for it is "bacterial SSU rRNA". It matches the Rfam family "Bacterial small subunit ribosomal RNA", at positions 67 to 1015 of the family's 1533-position model. The record is from RNAcentral.
CAGGGGGUCUAACCGGCAAGCUCGACGUGCUUCACCACAUGCGCGGACCGGGUGUGUCACGCCGUGAGCAAUCCGCCCACUCUGGGGGGAUAACAGUUCGGAAACGACCGAUAAUACCGCAUAACACGGUUUCGAAGGCAUCUUCUUUUCCAUCAAAGAUUUAUCGGAUAUGGAUGAGCUCGCGUCUGAUUAGCUCGUUGGUGAGGUAACGGCUCACCAAGGCGACGAUCAGUAGCCGACCUGAGAGGGUGAUCGGCCACAUUGGAACUGAGACACGGUCCAAACUCCUACGGGAGGCAGCAGUGGGGAAUAUUGGGCAAUGGAGGAAACUCUGACCCAGCAACGCCGCGUGAAUGAUGAAGGUCUUCGGAUUGUAAAGUUCUUUUCUAAGGGAAGAAGAAAGUGACGGUACCUUAGGAAUAAGCCUCGGCUAACUACGUGCCAGCAGCCGCGGUAAUACGUAGGAGGCAAGCGUUAUCCGGAAUGACUGGGCGUAAAGGGUGCGUAGGUGGUUUGACAAGUUGGUAGCGUAACUCCGAGGCUUAACCUCGGCACUACUACCAAAACUGUUGGACUCGAGUGCAGGAGGGGCAAAUGGAAUUCCUAGUGUAGCGGUGGAAUGCGUAGAUAUUAGGAGGAACACCAGUGGCGAAGGCGAUUUGCUGGACUGUAACUGACACUGAGGCACGAAAGCGUGGGGAGCAAACAGGAUUAGAUACCCUGGUAGUCCACGCUGUAAACGAUGAAUACUAGGUGUAGGGGGUAUCGAUUCCCUCUGUGCCGCCGCUAACGCAUUAAGUAUUCCGCCUGGGGACUACGGCCGCAAGGUUGAAACUCAAAGAAAUUGACGGGGGCUCGCACAAGCAGCGGAACAUGUGGUUUAUUUCGACGCAACGCGAAAAACCUUUACAGGCCCUGACAUCGAAUUGAAUUCAAAGAAAUUGGACCCU